Long non-coding RNA from Gallus gallus (chicken), 373 nucleotides. The record is from Ensembl. NCBI's taxonomy places the organism in Eukaryota, Metazoa, Chordata, Aves, Galliformes, Phasianidae.
AUCACAACAGAGGUGUCUUCAUAGAAUUUAUCUGAAAGCUACAGCAGGCAACGUUUAAGAUCCCAACCCAGAGAGCCUUUUCGGUUGGUGACCCUGCUGAUGGCAGCAAUGUUACACUUGAUAUCCAGACAUUGGUCUCUGCAGAAAGAGUGUUACAAACAGCAACGUGUCUGGUACAGAUGGGGAAAACCCUUCUGAGCCAUGGAGUGAAUUUACUGCGCUUUCACUGUGACACAGAGCUGGAAAUACUUCAGGACUUGGCACCUUAUGGAAGAAGUCUGAAAACCUGAAUCUCCAUCUUGUGUUCAGACAAAAGUCUCCAGUUUCUCUGUGAGAUCAGGAGGCUAUGGCCACUGCAGAAUUGGGAUGCUCC